Molecule: long non-coding RNA, 632 nt
Organism: Homo sapiens (human)
Lineage: Eukaryota; Metazoa; Chordata; Mammalia; Primates; Hominidae
Exons: 3
Source: RefSeq, a predicted model, not a curated record
CUUCAUUCAGGAGGAAUGUGGAGAUAAAUGCCCACAAGUGCAUCGCUGAUAUGUCCUACCAAACAAGGUAGAUAGACUAGCAAUCGUGCUAUCAGUGUUUGCCCCAGCUGUUUUGACACUGUUGUUAGGUUUCAAGGAAUGGUGGCUUUCAUGUGCUUGGCUAAUUCCAGCCUGAAAGUAGCACAAUGCUUCAUGUACAGAUGAUCAAAAGUACCUGGAUAAAGCCAAAACUCAGGAAACUCAACUUGUACCAUGCUGUAUGGGAUGCUAGGGAGAAGUUCAAAAGAUUUCUAGGCAAAAUAACCUUGUUGUCUCCCUAAAUAUGUUCCAAGUAGCCUGAAUCCCUCUCCUACACCUUGUGAAAAUCUUUUUUCUGCAAUUCAAUAUCAAAAUUAGAGAAAAAUAGAGAGUAAUAUAUUACAGAAAAAACAGAAAUGGAAGGUAGCAGCAAGUUGUAAUGCAGUUUCUACAAGUGGAAGAUUAGAGAGGAAUGUUCCAUUCAGGUGGCUUGAAGAUCCUCCUACAAAUGAAUUCUGAGUUUUUGGUGUUUCUUUCUUUUCCUUCAGUUUGUUAAAUGUGCCCAUAAUGUUAAACAAAAAAGACCCAAUAAAACAAAAAUGGCAGAAAUUUUC